This 751-nucleotide ribosomal RNA is filed under the name uncultured Pseudomonas sp. RNAcentral's name for it is "bacterial SSU rRNA". It matches the Rfam family "Bacterial small subunit ribosomal RNA", at positions 28 to 774 of the family's 1533-position model. Lineage: Bacteria; Pseudomonadati; Pseudomonadota; Gammaproteobacteria; Pseudomonadales; Pseudomonadaceae. The record is from RNAcentral.
AUUGAACGCUGGCGGCAGGCCUAACACAUGCAAGUCGAGCGGAUGAGGAGAGCUUGCUCUCUGAUUCAGCGGCGGACGGGUGAGUAAUGCCUAGGAAUCUGCCUAUUAGUGGGGGACAACGUUUCGAAAGGAACGCUAAUACCGCAUACGUCCUACGGGAGAAAGCAGGGGACCUUCGGGCCUUGCGCUAAUAGAUGAGCCUAGGUCGGAUUAGCUAGUUGGUGAGGUAAUGGCUCACCAAGGCGACGAUCCGUAACUGGUCUGAGAGGAUGAUCAGUCACACUGGAACUGAGACACGGUCCAGACUCCUACGGGAGGCAGCAGUGGGGAAUAUUGGACAAUGGGCGAAAGCCUGAUCCAGCCAUGCCGCGUGUGUGAAGAAGGUCUUCGGAUUGUAAAGCACUUUAAGUUGGGAGGAAGGGCAUUAACCUAAUACGUUAGUGUUUUGACGUUACCGACAGAAUAAGCACCGGCUAACUUCGUGCCAGCAGCCGCGGUAAUACGAGGGGUGCAAGCGUUAAUCGGAAUUACUGGGCGUAAAGCGCGCGUAGGUGGUUUGUUAAGUUGGAUGUGAAAGCCCCGGGCUCAACCUGGGAACUGCAUCCAAAACUGGCAAGCUAGAGUAUGGCAGAGGGUGGUGGAAUUUCCUGUGUAGCGGUGAAAUGCGUAGAUAUAGGAAGGAACACCAGUGGCGAAGGCGACCACCUGGGCUAAUACUGACACUGAGGUGCGAAAGCGUGGGGAGCAAACA